UAUAUAUGGAUAUUUACAUACUGCCAUUAGACCUAGGAAACUCAACGAGCUUACAUUUCACUAUUCAACAAGUCACCAAGCGAACUUCUAUUCUAUAAAAAUGAAUAAUCUUAAUUCGCCACCUAGUAAAGCCAUGAAUCGAAAACGAAUCAAAAAGAGAAGUGUGUCCAUGAUAAGGAUGCAACCACCGGAAAAGCGGAUGCGUCUUGAAAAUGAAAUGGUAUUGGAAAUAAGGCGCAUUAAAGUUGAUCAAAAAGAAGAUAAUUCUGGUUAUAAUGUUAUCACUAAGGAAUAUUUAAUGGAUAAUUUCGAUGACACUGGCAUGGAAAUGCGUAUCUCUAAAUUGAAUUAGCAGUGAUAAAUUUCGAUUAAAUGCAUGCUCAUCAUGCUGCUUAUCAAAAUAUUGAUUAUGUUUUUCUCUAAAUUAGUUGCGACUGAACUAAUAAAUUUUGAUGGCGCCUAAAUUGGAUUAUUGAUACACUUAAAUUAUAAAUUGAAUGCGUUGCAGUUCUGCAAAACUUGGAAAUUUCAUUGCGACCCCUUGGAAAUUUGGUUUUCAUAAUGCACCUUGAUGUUGAUUGAAUAGCGCUUGCUGGAAUUAUAAAUAUAUGUUUUAGGUAAAAUACCUGAAAAUACGCAA
This 640-nucleotide small RNA is filed under the name Drosophila yakuba. RNAcentral describes it as "GE28679". The record is from RNAcentral. Lineage: Eukaryota; Metazoa; Arthropoda; Insecta; Diptera; Drosophilidae.